RNAcentral lists this unclassified non-coding RNA (329 nucleotides) under soil metagenome. RNAcentral describes it as "partial contains 5.8S ribosomal RNA, internal transcribed spacer 2, and large subunit ribosomal RNA". The stretch from base 1 to 120 matches the Rfam family "5.8S ribosomal RNA", at positions 35 to 154 of the family's 154-position model. The record is from RNAcentral.
GAUGAAGAACGCAGCGAAAUGCGAUACGUAAUGUGAAUUGCAGAAUUCAGUGAAUCAUCGAGUCUUUGAACGCACAUUGCGCCCCUUGGUAUCCCGAGGGGCAUGCCUGUUCGAGCGUCAUUUCACCACUCAAGCCUGGCUUGGUGUUGGGCGACGUCCCCUUUGGGGACGCGCCUCGAAACGCUCGGCGGCGUGGCACCGGCUUUAAGCGUAGCAGAAUCUUUCGCUUUGGAAGUCGGGGCCCCGUCUGCCGGAAGACCUACUCGCAAGGUUGACCUCGGAUCAGGCAGGGAUACCCGCUGAACUUAAGCAUAUCAAUAAGCGGAGGA